Molecule: long non-coding RNA, 142 nt
Organism: Maniola jurtina (meadow brown)
Lineage: Eukaryota; Metazoa; Arthropoda; Insecta; Lepidoptera; Nymphalidae
Exons: 3
Source: RefSeq, a predicted model, not a curated record
UCUAUCAUUACAUUCUCAUCAGAAGGUUGCGUGUUCAGAUCACGUCGGGGUCACCAGAAUAUGUAGCAGCCAUGCAGCGUAUGAUAGAUAACUUGAUAAAUAAAAAUACCGCUACAUAUUAACUUGUAUUACUUGGGCUGUA